CACUAUGCCUAGCCCUAAACAUUGACAGUUAUUUACACCCACUGUCCGCCUGGGAACUACGAGCGCCAGCUUAAAACCCAAAGGACUUGGCGGUGCUUUAGACCCACCUAGAGGAGCCUGUUCUAGAACCGAUAAUCCCCGUUAAACCUCACCCUUCCUUGCCAUUUCCGCCUAUAUACCGCCGUCGUCAGCUUACCCUGUGAAGGUCCCAUAGUAAGCACAAUCGGCAAUGCCCAAAACGUCAGGUCGAGGUGUAGCGAAUGGAGGGGGAAGAAAUGGGCUACAUUUGCUAAUACAGUAAAUACGGAUGAUCACCCUGCAACGAGUAUCUGAAGGAGGAUUUAGCAGUAAGCAAAAAACAGAGUGUUUUGCUGAAAUUGGCCCUGAAGCGUGCACACACCGCCCGUCACUCUCUCCGAACUAAGACUUUAAACAUAACUAAUAUGCUAUAACUGUAAAGGAGAGGCAAGUCGUAA
Molecule: ribosomal RNA, 476 nt
Filed under: Chaetodon meyeri (scrawled butterflyfish)
Lineage: Eukaryota; Metazoa; Chordata; Actinopteri; Chaetodontiformes; Chaetodontidae
Description: partial small subunit ribosomal RNA
Rfam family: Bacterial small subunit ribosomal RNA
Source: RNAcentral